GAGAGUAUAGCUUGGUGGUAGAGUGUGUGCUUAGCAUGCACAAGGUCCUGGGUUCAGUCCCCAGUACCUCCG
Molecule: transfer RNA, 72 nt
Filed under: Camelus bactrianus (Bactrian camel)
Lineage: Eukaryota; Metazoa; Chordata; Mammalia; Artiodactyla; Camelidae
Also listed under: 2 other names
Rfam family: tRNA
About the family: Transfer RNA (tRNA) molecules are approximately 80 nucleotides in length. Their secondary structure includes four short double-helical elements and three loops (D, anti-codon, and T loops). Further hydrogen bonds mediate the characteristic L-shaped molecular structure. tRNAs have two regions of fundamental functional importance: the anti-codon, which is responsible for specific mRNA codon recognition, and the 3' end, to which the tRNAs corresponding amino acid is attached (by aminoacyl-tRNA synthetases). tRNAs cope with the degeneracy of the genetic code in two manners: having more than one tRNA (with a specific anti-codon) for a particular amino acid; and 'wobble' base-pairing, i.e. permitting non-standard base-pairing at the 3rd anti-codon position.
Source: Rfam by way of RNAcentral